AGUCGAACGGGGCACCUUUGAAAGAGACUUCGGUCAAUGGAUGAGACUGCCUAGUGGCGGACGGGUGAGUAACGCGUGAGGAACCUGCCUUUCAGAGGGGGACAACAGUUGGAAACGACUGCUAAUACCGCAUGAUGCAUGACCAGGGCAUCCUGGACAUGCCAAAGAUUUAUCGCUGAAAGAUGGCCUCGCGUCUGAUUAGCUAGUUGGUGAGGUAACGGCCCACCAAGGCGACGAUCAGUAGCCGGACUGAGAGGUUGACCGGCCACAUUGGGACUGAGAUACGGCCCAGACUCCUACGGGAGGCAGCAGUGGGGAAUAUUGGGCAAUGGGCGCAAGCCUGACCCAGCAACGCCGCGUGAAGGAAGAAGGCUUUCGGGUUGUAAACUUCUUUUGUCAGGGAAGAGCAGAAGACUGUACCUGACGAAUAAGCUCCGGCUAACUACGUGCCAGCAGCCGCGGUAAUACGUAGGGAGCAAGCGUUGUCCGGAUUUACUGGGUGUAAAGGGCGUGUAGGCGGGAUUGCAAGUCAGAUGUGAAAUUCCGGGGCUCAACCCCGGAACUGCAUUUGAAACUGUAGUUCUUGAGUACUGGAGAGGCAGGCGGAAUUCCUAGUGUAGCGGUGAAAUGCGUAGAUAUUAGGAGGAACACCAGUGGCGAAGGCGGCCUGCUGGACAGCAACUGACGCUGA
RNAcentral lists this ribosomal RNA (691 nucleotides) under uncultured bacterium. RNAcentral's name for it is "bacterial SSU rRNA". It matches the Rfam family "Bacterial small subunit ribosomal RNA", at positions 60 to 749 of the family's 1533-position model. The record is from RNAcentral.